This 172-nucleotide ribosomal RNA is filed under the name uncultured soil bacterium. Its description in RNAcentral is "partial 16S ribosomal RNA". It matches the Rfam family "Bacterial small subunit ribosomal RNA", at positions 355 to 524 of the family's 1533-position model. The record is from RNAcentral.
UGGGGAAUAUUGGACAAUGGGCGCAAGCCUGAUCCAGCCAUGCCGCGUGCAGGAAGAAGCAUCUAUGGUGUGUAAACUGCUUUUGUACGGGAAGAAACACUCCUUCGUGAAGGAGCUUGACGGUACCGUAAGAAUAAGGAUCGGCUAACUCCGUGCCAGCAGCCGCGGUAAU